Long non-coding RNA from Musa acuminata AAA Group (dessert banana), 798 nucleotides. RefSeq lists it as uncharacterized. The transcript has 3 exons. Lineage: Eukaryota; Viridiplantae; Streptophyta; Magnoliopsida; Zingiberales; Musaceae. The record is from RefSeq and is a predicted model, not a curated record.
GCGUCAGUCUCGCCCUAUUGUCACACACCAACGCCCUAUUGCGUCAGUCUCGCCCUAUUGCCCUGGAUAUGCAGAGCAAGGAAGAAGAGGAGGAGGAGGCUGAGAAGGGAUGCUCCGCUAGAGAUGCUCAGCAACAAGGCAAAGGAAGGAAGACCAACAACAACAACAACAACAACAGGAGGAAGUUGUUGGAAGUGCAGCAAGCCAUUUUGGCCAACAUGUCUCAAGCUCAUCAAGAUUUCAGGGACGAGCUGGUUGGAUCCGGAGAUCGUGUUCAAAUUGGCAUGUGAGGAACAAAUGCUUUGGCAAUGUGGUUUGAUUUAUGGAACACCUUUGAUUCAAAGGGAGAUCAACUCAUCACUUCUGAAGGGAUAUUGGAAAGGGAUUCCUCUUUCUUCCCCAGAAACUUGAAUGCACAGCAUAUAGAUGAUGUCCAUCACAAGACAAACAUAUUGAAGUAUACUAAUCUCAAGUGGUAUGGUUCAACAAUGGCAAUAAGCCAUAACAUUUCAUUGGAUGGGUCUCUUUAGGCUUAUGGAAGAUAAUAUUUUUAUUUGUAGAAGUUAUUAAAUAAGGUAAGUCAAUUGAAAUUAAUACUGCAAGGAGAAAUAGAAGAAGACAAAAGAAACUUUAUUUGUAAAUAAUAAAAUGAGUUUACAAGUUCUUUUUAUCAACUGUUUGUGUAGUAGUUUGUAGAACACUUUUAAAACCUUUCUUCCUAGUGAAAUAUCAUUUUCUAGAAUGUUGUUAACCUCAUCUUAACUAUCAAUCAAGAUCCAAAAAUGAGGAGCAUUUCUU